Long non-coding RNA from Myripristis murdjan (pinecone soldierfish), 2341 nucleotides. RefSeq lists it as uncharacterized. The transcript is spliced from 4 exons. The record is from RefSeq and is a predicted model, not a curated record. Lineage: Eukaryota; Metazoa; Chordata; Actinopteri; Holocentriformes; Holocentridae.
GGUUAAAAUGGCACAUGGCGUCGAGUUCUCAGCUUUGGUUUUAUAACCGUUUUUUUGCAAGCGUUCGUGAAUUUCUUCGAGUCUCAUACAGGCAACAACUUACUAAUUUGUCAUGUCUUCCUACACCAACACAGUGACAGAGCUCAGUAUGAAGAGAACAGUCCUGUGUCUGGAGGGGAGUGAAGAUGUGGAGUCUGCUGACCAAAUGGAAGGUGAAGAGGCCAUCCAAAGGCAGCUGACAAUGGCAUCACCAGCCUUGAGCAAGAGCGCAGCUUCCUCCAGGCAGAGGGGGCGUGCUGUGUGAUGGAGCUACAGCUGCAGCAUCCAGACUCUUCUCUACACCUGAUAAACUGGACUGUGAAGCAGCUGGACCUGUUGUGCAGUGGUUGUGGCUAGGCCAGGGCUCAGACGCCGGGUCAGGCAGCGCAGUGCAACAACACCCCACUGCUUCUGAAUCUCAGCAACAACCACGUAGGCCACACGGCGCUGCUCUGCCGGGGCCCGGCCGCCAACAACACCCUCAGGGUCCUCAGGGUGAGCAGAUGGAUCGGUGAACACUGAAGCCUUGGACAUGACACCUGCCUGUGGGCACAGUAGUAGCCUAUUAAUGCAAUAAUGGGUCUUUUGAAUAUGCAGGGAUGGUGUGAUCCUUUGUAGUGCAGACUGGUGCUGCUGGGUGAACAAGGCAGUUAUGGCGCCAGUAUAAAGGCAUACGGUCACAUAUUCACUUCCUAUUCCCAUCUUUUUCACCACUGGUUUGGCUACCAUACUUUCCUGAGGUGUUUGCAUGUAAAAGCUUUCAGUUUUACAAGGUAAUGGUCUUGAGCUUGAGUUCAGCACUGGAAGAGAUCAAUGUUUCUGUAAGUGCAACAAAACGACUUGAAGCUCAGCAUAGCAACUACAGGGUACAGUAUCUGCUUUCACUGCAUGAAGAAUGACCAUGAGCAGAUCGUCCAGGUCAGGGGUCAGGACAAAAGGGACAUGUCUUGUCAUAACAAUAAGAAUAGAUUGAGAUGUUUAACAAAAACUGCAGGAUAAACUAUAGGUAAAUCCAGAACUGGAUUAAAUGGAUAUAUUACACUAGGCUGCCACAUGAUUAUUAUGCUCAUUAAUUUAGCUGAACAUUUUUUAGCUUAUCUAUUUAUGUUUUGAUAUUCAUAACCACAGCAACUGGCAACACCAUAGGAACCACCUAGAGCACCAUAACAAUAUAUGCAAUUUGUUAGUCAUUUAUUUCUAGUGGAAAGUGUAGCUCUAUAUUAUACAUCUGAUUUAAAUAUAUUGUACAUUUAAUUGAAAGUGUCUUUACUCAUUCAGAUUUGGAUAUUUAAAUGGAAAACUUACAUUUUCAGAUGCUUUCUCCUGACUUUUGAUGAGGUCCUUGCUGAUGUCAUCAAAAUCCCAGGAGCUGGUCAGUCCAUUCUCAGCUGCCGACAGGGCGGGCCUUGCAGGUGGUAACUGAGGCUGGCUUGUGGGCUUUGAAACUGCUGGGCCUGAGACAAGCUUGUGUAAAGCCCUUUUGUCCUGCAGCUGACACUGUGAUUAGAUUUUACAUUUUUAAAACAUUUUAAAAUAUACGUCAAAAAAUAUUUAUUACAUUGUGAAAUCAUAUUUAAUCAUCAAUAUUUAAUGAAGGAAGUUGAUGUUCAUUACACCUCUAUUUGGCCUGCCUAGUGGCAAUGAGGCCCUAGGCAUGCAUCUAGAAAGCCUAUGGUUAGAUGUGGCCUGGGCAGGUCUCUGAGCAGGUGUGUAAUGAUAAAGACCUUGCUGUCAUGUCAUCAUUUGACCAUGCAAAAAUCAGAAUGACUCUGCUUAAAACGGCCUUUUGUAAGAGAAAGCCUAUGUACCAAACAAGCCUUGGGGCAGACCAAAGCCUUUAGUUUUCAAUUAUACACACACAUGCACUUGGUAACACAUUUGUUAACAUUUUAGAAUAAUGAAUAUUUGAUUUUGCCUCAAGUAAGCUAUAAACACAUUUAGAAAAUGAUGGGGAACAUCUUAGAUGAUCUUGCAGCACCUCUGGUUUAGGAAAUGUCUGGUAUAACCAGCCUGGCCACAAUAUUUUCAAGAAAUCUUGUAGUGGUCAUCCACCCCAAGAUAAAUACAUUACACAGCCAGAUGUGUUUUCCUCCAACUUAAAUGGAAGCCAGACGCUCAGUUUUAGCUGGAUGAAGACGUCUGCCGGAGGUUUAACAUCAGUGAACUCAGUUCUGCAGCUGUAUGCAUUGCUUAGACAGUAAUGUAGUUCAGUAAUGUUGUAAUGCUGUUGCCGGUUGCUGAGGAGUCAUGAGUACAGGGAUAUUAAACUUUGCCUGAGGAUGAGACAUGAGAUGUUCAAAUA